Molecule: ribosomal RNA, 109 nt
Filed under: Pelobates cultripes (western spadefoot toad)
Lineage: Eukaryota; Metazoa; Chordata; Amphibia; Anura; Pelobatidae
Description: PK-G12rRNA
Rfam family: Eukaryotic large subunit ribosomal RNA
Source: RNAcentral
UCCUAAGGCGAGCUCAGGGAGGACAGAAACCUCCCGCGGAGCAGAAGGGCAAAAGCUUGCUUGAUCUUGAUUUUCAGUAUGAAUACAGACAGUGAAAGCGGGGCCUCAC